CCUUUUAUUUUGGUCCUGCUCUAUUCAGUCCUAUUAAUGGUCAUGAAGGAAACUGGGAUUUGCAGGGAAGAGAGGCUUUUUUUUUCAAUCAGGAUGACAUAGGUGAAAAAAACGGAAUUGAAGCUCUCAUCUGGGUCCAAGUGGAACUUGUUGCAGUUAAACCAAGAUGAUGUGCUGGAGUUUAACUUGGUUAAACUUGUGUCUAUCAGUGGAAGAUGCUGUUGUUCCAACCCCUGUUGCUGUUAGGCCACAAACUCCAGAUAUUUUUUCUUCCCUAACAUGCUAAAACCCAUCGUGGCAAACCAGCUUCCCUAGCCAUGGGUUGGCAAGGCGACCUCCCCCCUUCCCCAGCCACCUAAAGGGACAUUAGAAUUGCAAAUGGGUCACCCCAUCUAUUGCACAGAUCAGUGCUCCUCCUCGCUGGCAUGGUGGGUAGAUCUGGCUGGUGUGUGGGAAACCAUCCCUUUCGGUAAAGGCAACAGCACCCUGACACCAAAAUCCUCCAGCCGGCAUGAGUGCCACCACACCAUGGACUGCACGAGGCUCAGCUGCAAGCAGGAGCGCUGAGAAAAGCAGCUACGUGCCGAGGUGCCCUCAAGGCUGGGAGUGGCAUUGUGCCAGCAAGGACAGGCACACCAACCCCUGGAAGAUCUCUCCAGCUGCUCAAAAAUUGGGACAAGCAGCCAGUGUCCAUCCUCUCAUUGUGUUCAAGGGCUUGGGACAGUCCUGUGGCGGUGUCCUGCCGUGGGAAGGGACAGCGUCCUCGUUUCUGCCCUCAGAACUGAACAGCUGAUUCCCCGCACACUGGCCAGGAUCUUAAAGCAACUGCCCAGGCUGAGACGACUGGGGGGACAGGGACUGGUGGCCCCCAGCACUGGGCACCUCUGAGCUCCGGCACGCUGUGAAAACCCAUCGCUCCAGUUAUGAAACUCCGGUGACCUACUUUACACUCCCUGCUUUUGUUCUUAAUUCCCAGAUAUGGCCGCUCUCCAGAUUUUGCCCAUCAAGGCAAAUUAAUUGGAGUAGAUCCUAAUUUGCUCUCUGCUAUUCUUUGGGCAGAAGAUUAAAUGCUCUGCAGACAUUAUCUCCCACUCUCUUUUCUAAGAGACAAACCUGAAUUAUUAAAAAAAAAAAAAAAGGGAUAAAGGAAGGCCGAGUUAGGCUGAGUUGAUGUUUGAAUUCACUUUUUGUAAUCGCAGAAGGGGCUGGGGAGGCCCCCGUGUCCCCAGACAGCUGGAACCAGAUGGUG
Molecule: long non-coding RNA, 1249 nt
Filed under: Athene cunicularia (burrowing owl)
Lineage: Eukaryota; Metazoa; Chordata; Aves; Strigiformes; Strigidae
Description: lncRNA (ENSACUG00000009667.1)
Source: RNAcentral